This 465-nucleotide ribosomal RNA is filed under the name uncultured bacterium. RNAcentral's name for it is "partial 16S ribosomal RNA". It matches the Rfam family "Bacterial small subunit ribosomal RNA", at positions 28 to 507 of the family's 1533-position model. The record is from RNAcentral.
GACGAACGCUGGCGGCGUGCUUAACACAUGCAAGUCGUACGGUAAGGCCCUUUCGGGGGUACACGAGUGGCGAACGGGUGAGUAACACGUGAGUAACCUGCCCACAACUUUGGGAUAACGCUAGGAAACUGGUGCUAAUACUGGAUAUGUGCUCCUGCUGCAUGGUGGGGGUUGGAAAGCUCCGGGGGUUGUGGAUGGACUCGCGGCCUAUCAGCUUGUUGGUGGGGUAGUGGCCUACCAAGGCGGCGGCGGGUAGCCGGCCUGGGGGGGUGACCGGCCACAUUGGGACUGAGGUACGGCCCAGACUCCUACGGGAGGCAGCAGGGGGGGAUAUUGCACAAUGGGCGCAAGCCUGAUGCAGCAACGCCGCGUGCGGGAUGACGGCCUUCGGGUUGUAAACCGCUUUCAGCAGGGACGAAGCUUUUUGUGACGGUACCUGCAGAAGAAGCACCGGCUAACUACGUG